Long non-coding RNA from Tigriopus californicus, 1225 nucleotides. RefSeq lists it as uncharacterized. The record is from RefSeq and is a predicted model, not a curated record. The transcript has 2 exons. NCBI's taxonomy places the organism in Eukaryota, Metazoa, Arthropoda, Copepoda, Harpacticoida, Harpacticidae.
GGAGACUCAUGUUCGAAAAACGAGUUGUGCAUUAAAUUGCUGCGGAUGGGCGGCUAAACCCUUGACUAAUUCCGACCCGGAUUAGCUCAAGAUAAUCCCGAGUGGUCAACAAAAACCCUUAAUUCCUUCCAAGGCCUUGUUCGUCGGUGAAUCUUUUGUGAGUAACUUCAUAUCCGUCGCAGCUAUUUUGACUGGGCCAAAAACGUCAGACUGUGAGCUAUUCGAUCUACUGAGGUCGCUCUUUUCAAAAAAGUUGUCAUUGACCGCAAAAAAGAUGAGGAAACAUUCCGAACGAUCUCCCAAGACACAUGCACAUGAUUUCACAGGUUUCCGGAGCGUGACGCAGAUCUAGCGGGUACCUUGGGAAUUGAACUGUUCAUUCAUCAGUAUUCAGGGCCGUUCUCGAGACCAGUAUCUGUAUCUGUUCUAAACAGAGGGCAGACAUCUAUCGGACUGCCCUCUCAACCCACCCUUCUUCGAGCUUACCGAGUGCUCAACAACAGAAACAAGUGAACAUUUCAAGUCGGAAAGGCGUAUAGAAUUGAAUCUCAUUUCAAGAUUGCGUCGCUUAUCCAUGUUAUUUGCUGACCCUGAGUCUCGGAACUGGGGAUGGUGAUGGUAAGUGCUUUUCGCUUUGAUGCUCCCACAAUGAACCCCAGCAUCAUCUGAGAAGGAGCAAGCAGCCAGCAUCUUCCAAAUUACUCUCACACAGACAAGGCUUUAAUCUUUCAUUCAAAUUGAAGUCCACGAGAGAUGAGGGAGGGCGGAAAAUUCCAGUCCUCUGAAUAGACAUUAACAGCAUCGACAGUGAAAGAAGGUGUGCAUGACCAAGACAGAUCCCGCUGAAGGACUUUGGAGCCCAGAGCCCAGCGAGCGUCUAUGGAAUGAAUGUCUCCAUGUAACAAACUACAGCGAUAUAGAGAUGAGUGACCAGAAAUGAUCUGAAUGUCGCUUUGGAUCACCUUAAUGGAAUUGCCGAGACGAGCAGAUUGCCGAACCAGAACCAAAAUAUCACCAACUAGGUUUGGUCUGCUUGAGGUGUUAAUUGAAAACCACCAUUGCUAUUUGACAUAUCCGGGUGAAAGCAGCAUUCUUACUUUGGUGAUAUCUGACGUCACGAUUAACAGGUUCUAUUAGAUAGAACUCUGCCCUAAGCAAGACAUGAAGAUUUGAUUGUUGUGCAGAUAAAACUUGAAUUAUACAAAAUGACUGAGGGGACUUCAAA